AGCCACUGCCAGGCCCAAGGUGAAUUAUUAUUAUUCACAAGGAUGCUGCCUUGGAUCUGCGGAUUGUGAAGGAAGCCCCAGGGGAUGGAGGCAGUGACCCUCUCAGGACGAUGACCUGGGGGUCCCAGCUCCCCUGGAGGGGCCUCCUCAUGAUUAUUUGGGAGUUGAUCAUGGACACUGGCAUAGCAGAGAGUGACGAGUGAUAUUGCCACGUGACACGUCUGUCGCCAGACCUUCUUGCCCCUGUUGCCUCAGCAUAACAUGGAUCGACUUUUUGCUCUGUGGAGGGGAAGCCCUGCAACCCUGGGGACUUGAGGUCCAGAGUGGGAGUCCCUUCCGCUGGCUCUGCCCUGCCCAGUUAUGCCACAGAGCGCCACGAUCUGGGGAGACUGGUUUUCCUUUGUCUCAGCCAGCCUGUGUGUCCUCCUGCCUGCUCCUGGUGUGACUUUUGAGGACCGAGAGUUCUUGUUGAGGUUUUCUGCACUGUGCACCUUUGUCUUUUCACCCGACUCAAUAAAUCUUUAAACAUGC
This is a long non-coding RNA of Lemur catta (Ring-tailed lemur), 531 nucleotides long. RefSeq lists it as uncharacterized. The record is from RefSeq and is a predicted model, not a curated record. Lineage: Eukaryota; Metazoa; Chordata; Mammalia; Primates; Lemuridae. The transcript has 3 exons.